AACGAACGCUGGCGGCAUGCCUAACACAUGCAAGUCGAACGAAGGCUUCGGCCUUAGUGGCGCACGGGUGCGUAACGCGUGGGAAUCUGCCCUUUGGUUCGGAAUAACAGCUGGAAACGGCUGCUAAUACCGGAUGAUGACGAAAGUCCAAAGAUUUAUCGCCAGAGGAUGAGCCCGCGUUGGAUUAGGUAGUUGGUGGGGUAAAGGCCUACCAAGCCGACGAUCCAUAGCUGGUCUGAGAGGAUGAUCAGCCACACUGGGACUGAGACACGGCCCAGACUACUACGGGAGAAAGCAGUGGGGGAUAGAGAACAAUUGGCUAGAGCUGGAUCCAUCUAUGACGCGAGAGAGAGGGAGGCAAUAGGGUGGUAAAGCCCAUGUAAAGGGGAAGAUAAUGACGGUAACGAAAGAAUAAGACCCGGCUAACUCCGUG
This 433-nucleotide ribosomal RNA is filed under the name uncultured bacterium. Its description in RNAcentral is "partial 16S ribosomal RNA". It matches the Rfam family "Bacterial small subunit ribosomal RNA", at positions 30 to 507 of the family's 1533-position model. The record is from RNAcentral.